This is a long non-coding RNA of Hibiscus syriacus, 254 nucleotides long. RefSeq lists it as uncharacterized. The transcript has 3 exons. The record is from RefSeq and is a predicted model, not a curated record. NCBI's taxonomy places the organism in Eukaryota, Viridiplantae, Streptophyta, Magnoliopsida, Malvales, Malvaceae.
AGAAAUGCUGAAGAAAACAGGAAAGUGUGUUAUAAUCCUAGAUGAUGUGUGGGACAGAUUCUUUCUAGAGGAACUUGGGAUCCCUGAGCUGAGUCGUAGCAAUGGAUGGAAGUUGGUGUUGACAACUCGUUCAGUGCAAGUCUGUAAACGUAUGAGUUGUAAGGAUAUACUGGUAAGACCCCUUUCAGAAGAAGAGGCAUUAAUACUAUUCUUGAAUAAAGUUGGGCCUAACAUAUUUCAACAUACUAGUAUAA